Molecule: long non-coding RNA, 738 nt
Filed under: Prunus dulcis (almond)
Lineage: Eukaryota; Viridiplantae; Streptophyta; Magnoliopsida; Rosales; Rosaceae
Description: sRNA ncRNA
Source: RNAcentral
UUUGGAUUUGAAUAUGAGAAAUUUGAGAUAAGGGUUGAGAGACAACCUAAGAUCGAUUGCUCUGAUACCAUACUAAAAUAUGAAUAUGGUUUGAACACUUUGGGUUAGGUUUUAUUCUUCUUCAUAAGGAGGUAUAUAUAGGAGUUUACAUGAGUGCUUUACAAGGAAAUAAAUACAGUAAUUAAUUAGUAUAGUAUUUCCUAAUUAUACAAUGAUUUGUCAACUAUAUAGAAUAGGAAAGUAAAUCCCUUAAUUAAUCAAGUAAAUAAAUCUCCUUGAUUAAUUAGGAGACUCAUGUCAACAGUGGCAGGCCACGAGGACCUGGUGGCAAUGGAGGUGUUGGACACAGGAACCAGAACAGAGCAACCACCGUGGCUGAAAUGGUGAGAAAUAUUGCGAUGGUCAUGCGAUGGUCAUCUUUCUCAAUAUUGCUAGCAUCCCACCAUAAUGACCACAUUUUUGGCUUUAGGCCCUUAACCCUAAUGAAGACGAAAGAUAUAUAAAGUUUUAGAAAGAAGGAAGAAGCAUCUCCAUGUUAACCAGUCAGUUACCAUAUGCUUAUUAUAUAUACAGAAAAUACAUAUAGAAAAGCUUUUUGACCAGAUGAAGAAUCUUGUUGGAUGUGGUGGGGAUGGCUUGUAGUAGCUAAAUAUUGUUUUGCCCCUACCACACAAAAAUCAAGGAGAAAACGCCAGGAGCUAAAUACAUCCAGGAGAAAACGCCAGAACAAAAAUCAAG